AUACCUUCAUCCUUUUGGUGAUGGUGAUCAUUGAAGUUAUUUGACUUAUUAUCAUCCUUUUGGUGAUAACAAGUUUUUUUGUUGGAUCUGACCCUCAUCCUUUUGGUGAGGUAAUCUUUGAAGUUAAUAAGUUAACUAUCAUCCUUUUGGUGGUAGUCUUGAUAUUAUACUUUCGGUAAUGGGAAACUUUAUCAGAAUAACCAUCAUCCUUUUGGUGACGGACAUCAUCCUUUUGGUGAUGGAAAUCUUUGGAUUGUG
This 258-nucleotide long non-coding RNA is filed under the name Lathyrus oleraceus (garden pea). RNAcentral describes it as "Pisum sativum (pea) long non-coding RNA (PSAT_LNC012725)". The record is from RNAcentral. Lineage: Eukaryota; Viridiplantae; Streptophyta; Magnoliopsida; Fabales; Fabaceae.